UGUACCUACACUUCUCUAUAUGUACAGAG
RNAcentral lists this non-coding RNA (29 nucleotides) under Rattus norvegicus (Norway rat). The record is from RNAcentral. Lineage: Eukaryota; Metazoa; Chordata; Mammalia; Rodentia; Muridae.